Molecule: unclassified non-coding RNA, 147 nt
Organism: Macaca mulatta (Rhesus monkey)
Lineage: Eukaryota; Metazoa; Chordata; Mammalia; Primates; Cercopithecidae
Rfam family: Metazoan signal recognition particle RNA
About the family: The signal recognition particle (SRP) is a universally conserved ribonucleoprotein. It is involved in the co-translational targeting of proteins to membranes.
Source: Ensembl
GCCGGGUGUGGUGGUGCACACCUGUAGUCCCAGCUACUCAGGAGGCUGAGGCAGGAGAAUUGCUUGAACCCAGGAGGCAGCGGUUGCAGUGAGCUGAGAUCGCGCCACUGCACCCCUGCCUGGUGACAGAGUGAGACUCUGUCUCAA